This 58-nucleotide transfer RNA is filed under the name Trichuris muris. RNAcentral's name for it is "tRNA TMUE_M000000015". The record is from RNAcentral. Lineage: Eukaryota; Metazoa; Nematoda; Enoplea; Trichinellida; Trichuridae.
GUUAUUUUGGUGUAUUAAUAGCACGGUUAACUUCCAAUUAAUAAGAUAGUCAAUAACA